CGGGAUUGCCCCAGUAACGGCGAGUGAAGCGGCAACAGCUCAAAUUUGAAAUCUGGCCUCUUUCGGGGUCCGAGUUGUAAUUUGUAGAGGAUGCUUCGGGUGACGGUCCGGCCUAAGUCCCUUGGAACAGGGUGUCAUAGAGGGUGAGAAUCCCGUCUGCGGUCAGCGCCCGACCCCGUCAGAAGCUCCUUCGACGAGUCGAGUUGUUUGGGAAUGCAGCUCUAAAUGGGUGGUAAAUUUCAUCUAAAGCUAAAUACCGGCCGGAGACCGAUAGCGCACAAGUAGAGUGAUCGAAAGAUGAAAAGCACUUUGGAAAGAGAGUCAAACAGUAUGUGAAAUUGUUGAAAGGGAAGCGCCUGCGACCAGACCUGUCUGCGGGCGAUCACCCGUCGUUCUCGGCGGGGUACUCGUCCGUCAGCAGGCCAGCGUCGGUUUCGGCGGCCGGACAAAGGCCCCGGGAAUGUACCUACCCUCCGGGGAAGGCUUAUAGCCCGGGGUGCAAUGCGGCCAGCCGGGACCGAGGACCGCGCUUCGGCUAGGAUGCUGGCGUAAUGGUCGUAGGCGGCCCGUCUUGAAACACGGACCAAGGAGUCUAACAUCUAUGCAAGUGUUUGGGUGUCAAACCCAUACGCGCAAUGAAAGUGAACGGAGGUGGGAACCCUUCAGGGCGCACCAUCGACCGAUCCAGAUGUCUUCGGAUGGAUUUGAGUAUGAGCAUAAAUGUUGGGACCCGAAAGACAGUGAACUACACAUGGAUAGGGUGAAGCCAGAGGAAACUCUGGUGGAGGCUCGCAGCGGUUCUGACGUGCAAAUCGAUCGUCAAAUCAGUGUGUAGGGGCGAAAGACUAAUCGAACUGUCUGGUAGCUGGUUUCGGCCGAAGUUUCCCUCAGGAUAGCAGUAACGUUUUCAGUUUUAUGAGGUAAAGCGAAUGAUUAGAGGCCUUGGGGGCGUAACGCCCUUAACCUAUUCUCAAACUUUAAAUAUGUAAGAAGUCCUUGUUGCUUGGUUGAACGUGGACAUUUGAAUGUACCGUUACUAGUGGGCCAUUUUUGGUAAGCAGAACUGGCGAUGCGGGAUGAACCGAACGCGAGGUUAAGGUGCCGGAAUGCACGCUCAUCAGACACCACGGAAAAUGAUAGAGCGAGGUUGCAUUGGAAUUGUAAAUGUGGUGUCAAAUGGGGAUGAAAAGUCCCGUGUCAGUCCUGAACAGGGCCAGGUCUUUCAUCUGCGGAGCCAGCUGGCCAUUAACAUGGUCGGCCAAUCCGCUGCUGCGUCUCUUUGAAGCAGUCCACAGAUUAAGUGGAGACCGGCUGCAGCAUCUGUUGCGGCUCAAGAUAUAAUCGGCCAGGGAAGUGUCGCUCUCUGAUCUCGCGCAAAAAGUGUUAGUUCAUCUAGACAGCCGGACGGUGGCCAUGGAAGUCGGAACCCGCUAAGGAGUGUGUAACAACCCACCGGCCGAAUGAACUAGCCUUGAAAAUGGAUGGCGCUCAAGCGUGCUACCCAUACCUCGCCGCCANNNNAGAAACGAUGCCCUGGCGAGUAGGCCGACGUGGAGGUCCGUGACGAAGC
Molecule: ribosomal RNA, 1570 nt
Filed under: Solenopsora grisea
Lineage: Eukaryota; Fungi; Ascomycota; Lecanoromycetes; Lecanorales; Catillariaceae
Description: partial large subunit ribosomal RNA
Rfam family: Eukaryotic large subunit ribosomal RNA
Source: RNAcentral